This is a non-coding RNA of Physcomitrium patens, 4988 nucleotides long. The record is from RefSeq and is a predicted model, not a curated record. Lineage: Eukaryota; Viridiplantae; Streptophyta; Bryopsida; Funariales; Funariaceae.
UGGGACGACGAAGCAGGAUGAGGCAGAGGAGUCGGGAGAGGGGUCGCAUUCGCGAGGCAGGUGACGGUGGCCAUGGCUGUGGGAUUUGGAUGGAUGUCACGGCAAUGCGGUAGUGUCGGGGUGUUCGGGGCAGUGUGGGAGAUGUGAAGAGAAAGGAACGAGAGGGAGGAGGGGCGAGGAGAAAGGGCGUGGAGUGGAGGGACUUGGUAUUCGGCGUGAUUGUGGAAUGGAGGAGCUUGUGGCGGAUCGAGAAGUGGUUGCCCGCGGUGGAUCAGGUGGUGUGGUUGCUACGGGAGCAUCGGUUUGUGAUGCAUGUCCAGCCCGGUUGGGUCGGUGGCCAGGGUAUUGUUGGCAACUAGUAGUGGGGAACUAAUUUUUUUUUUUUUUUUUUUUUUUUUUUUUGGGGGGGGGGCACACACAGCGGGAGUUAGGGGAGUGAAUGCUUUGUGCUGAAGGUGGAAUCUGCUACGAGAAUCGGCUCAGGAGUGUUCAGGUUCAAGGUUGGAGGAACGUUGUUAUGCCGAUGAUGGAGGAAGGUGCGCGUCAUUCAGCACGGUCGCCAUCAUCGGAUGGCGAAUCCAGUAGCGACGACGAUGACUCGACAUUUGGGGUUCCUAGUGGUCGGGGCCGCAGGCUGUUGUAUCCGAUGCCUCAGUCUCAUUGGUUUCCCCGAUCGAUUUCGUUCCAGGCAUAUGUGGCACCAAGGGUGUCGAGGCAGCGCAGUGGGGCCGAGGCACCGUCAAGGGUGUUGAGGCAACACGCUGGAGUUAAUGCACUACGAUUGCAUAUCCACGUUACCCGUCCGUUGGCGUACAAGCUCACGAAGGAUAUUGUGGUGACGUUCCAAAACUGUAAUCCCGAUUUUGCUUUUUCACCGGAUCUGAAUCCGAAGCGAUACCUGACUGUUCCAUCGACAAUCGUGUCAGAGAAUGGCCUGGACAAUGAAAAGCACGACCUUGUGCUGUAUUUCAACCAAGUCUUGGUGAAUAGCGAUGGUACUCGCAGGUAUGUCGUGAAAGAUCUGGUGGGUUCUGGCACUUUUGGGCAGGUAGCAAGAUGUUAUACGGAGGAGACCAAUGAAUACGUUGCAGUGAAGGUCAUAAAGAAUUUGGCAGCUUAUUACACCCAGGCGCGGUUCGAGAUCGGAAUUUUGCACAUGCUGAACAGGGAAUACGAUCCAGAUGACCAGUACCACAUCGUCAGAAGCCUAGACCACUUUCAGCACCAUGAGCAUCUAUGCAUUGUAUUUGAGCUUCUUACGGAAAACUUGUACGAGCUGUUGAAAAAAACGAAUUUGAAGGGCAUGUCCCUUGUAUUGGUGCGAAUGUUCACUAAACAGUUGCUGAAAUCUCUGAGUCUUCUGCGGGAAGCUAGGGUUAUACAUUGUGAUUUGAAGCCGGAGAACAUUCUUCUGACUGAGAGUUUUCGGUCCGCGGAGUUGAAGCUUAUCGAUUUCGGUUCAGCGUGUAAAGAAGAUCGAACUGUAUACACAUAUAUACAGAGUCGGUUUUACAGAUCUCCCGAGGUACUGCUUGGUCAUCGGUACACCACCGCUAUCGAUAUGUGGUCGUUAGGGUGUGUGGCAGCUGAGCUUUUCCUGGGGCUGCCACUGUUCCCCGGAGCUUCCGACUUUGAUAUGCUGCUAUUUAUGAAGGAGAAACUCGAAAGCCAACCCUCGGAUCAUAUUUUGAGGAAUGCAAAGUACACGAACAAGUUCUUCAAGCUACUGACAGCUGCUCCUCAUGCCGACCACAGUGUCAGCGCUUAUCAGCUGCUGACAGUCGAGGAGUAUGAAGCGCGUCAUAGGAAGAAGCCCGAGAUUGGGAGGAGGUACUUCAAUGGUAAUCUUUCGGAAGUGAUAAUGGGAUUUCACAUGAAGCCCAUGCCAGCGGCGGAUCAGAAUAAAGAGAUGCAAGCUCGGGAGUGUUUCGUGGAUUUUUUAAGAGGCUUGCUCGAAUGUGACCCAAGGAAAAGAUGGACACCGCAGCAGGCUGCGCAGCACCCAUUCAUAACAGAUGAGCCAUUCGUUGGGCCUUAUGUUCCUGUUCCAGAGACUCCACGAGCGUCUGUGAAUCAAAGUCUUCUCAUAGACCAUAGUGGCGCGGCGGGGCAUUGGGUUGGCGCAGGCCUUUCUCCCCAGGUGGGAGGGUUAAACACAGGUACUCGGUACGCUGCGAGCCCUCAUCAACAUCCCAGUCAUUUUUCACGAGGGAGUAGUCAUGGCAGUGUGGGCAGUUUUGGAAGCUAUGGAGAAGGUGUAACGAUGGACGGCAAUUUCGACAAUUAUAUGGACGAACCGAGUGCACAUGCGAUGGGCAUGAGUGCUCAAGCAUCAAGGGUAGGCAGCUCUCCCGAAUCAAGUUGGCAAGGGAGAAUGUUCGUACCAUCUAUGCAUCCGCAACAUCCAGCUCUUCGGUCAUUGAAUAUUGGAGCCAGUCCGUCAUUCAAUCUGGGACAGAGUCCGUCUGGAUUCGGCCAUCAAAAUCUCUAUCAGCUGUCCCCUGGUCCUUAUGGUGCGUCGCCAGGGUCGUUUCCUUCGUCACCAGCAUCUAGUUUCUUCCAGUCGAAUGGAUCUCAAUCGCAGGUAAGUUCCCCGAAUUGGUAUAAUUCAGCUUCGCCUGCGCGGCAACCGGGCAAUGCAAAUGGUGCGCAAGGGCAUUAUCUUCGGAGGCGGCCUUGGCAAGGACACCCCAGUCCCGGUGGACACGGACAGGGGUCGCAGCUGUCCCAGCAGCAGGAGUUGGCGCAUUGGUCGAGGCUUCAACACGGCAGUGGGAAUGCGAAUGUGGAUGCAAUGCCGAAUAUGAGUUUUGAGGGUCAAGGUGGGGUACGAAGAGGUGGUCCACACGUACCUCACUCUCGGUGUGCUAGGAAUGGCAACAGUGGGGGGGCGACGCAGUCGCUGCGGGGGUUAUCUUCUUACGGUCCAGGCACGCUAGGUUCGCAUUUAUCACCAGGAAGUUCUAUGGAUGGUGGAGAUGAAGAUUCCGCAGUGAGCACUCAUUGGGAUCCCGACUUCAGUGGCGAACUACUUCUAGAAGAAGAUGGUCACGAAGCUGGAGCAAGGAAAGGCCCUGCUAGGUCCAGUGGAGCUGGAGGUGACGGCUUUUAUGAUGGGACCACGUCGAGGAGGACAUCACAAGGUCGAGUGAGCACCUCAAGCAUAGAUAGUUUUGCGUCUUCGAAUAGCUCCCAGUCUAGGUACCUACGUCCGAAGCCCGGCCACUUUUCUUCGAGUCAAACUUCUCCUAGCAGGCUUGGACCCCAAAUUUCUCAUAAUUCUCAGCAGCAGCGUUAUCAGCAAGGUAACCAGCAGCAACAGGCGCAACAUGGGUGGCAGCAGAUAUCACCAGAGCAAACUCCUCUUCACCCUGUUCAUCAGGGGGCCAUGAGGCAUAUGCCUGGGGAAGUGGGUGGUGCAGUUGGCGGAACAGCGUCUUUGCAACAGUGGCAGCAGGCUCUUCUUUUUCAGCAGCACCAACUUCAAAACGAGCAUCACCAACAGCACUAUGGGAUGAAUCACGCACUUCCAGAGGCGCAGUUUUCAGGGGUGGUACCGGGGAUUUCCAAUAGGGACAUGAGAGCGCAUGGGAAUCAAUUGCCAUCCCCUCAGAAUGAUAACAGAGUUCAGUACAUGGGGGCAGCUUAUGAUACCCAUUCCUCUAGUGCUGCCAGAGUGAAUAGUGGACAAGGUGAUCCAAAUUCGAAUGCCGCCGCUGCAGCAGGAAUUGCAAUGGUAACAGGUAUAGGUCAUGGAGGUAUAAGUUAUGCAAUGCAAUGUGCCCCACAUCAGGGCUACUAUGGGGGAGGAGAGGAAUUGCAUCGCCAUUGGUCUAUUCCCCAGAGCCAUGAGCUUUGCUUAGGAUCAAAGCCCCCAAUGCCAGGUCGACAGUGAAUGAGGCUGUGAUCCGGCGCAGUAGUCAUUAAAGCAGCCGUGUGAUCUGGCGGCAUAUAGAUGCCUUGUUGGUUUGUGCACAAGAGUGCGAAGGUGCACUGAGUAGCGCUGAGGAGCAAAUGGAGGCUGAGGAGCUUGUGCAUGUUAUGCCCAAGUUGAGGCUUAUAUGAGACUGAUUGUGAAUUUCGCAAAAUAUCAGCGAUCAUUUAUGAACAGUCAAUUCCAUGCAGGCGUAUGGAAAUCUCUUCCAGGGUUCUCGAUCUUAGAAAAUUCGUCCAACAUAGGUUGUUUACAAGUGCAGCUGAACAGCACGUUGGAGUUGUUGCGGUCCGUUUUGCAUCUGCAUGGUUGUCUGGACAUAGGGAAUGCCCAGGUUUUCAUGUGAUUGUGAGCAAUGGCGGGUUAGUGUGUGCACAUUCCGACGGUGGAAUACCGUGUUUGGUGGUUGAAGUAGCAUAUGCGCUGUAAAAUAGCCGAUUCUGGUGUGCUUGACAAUUGGCUUGCCAUUCGGAAUGCACUCCAGAUUGUCUGAAUCAGAGGUGCUGCUCUUGUGGUUAUAAGAUACCAGCACGUGGUUGAUUUGUAAGCGGUAGAGCUGUAUUUGAUUUAUGGGCAAAUUCACCUUUUUUUCCAUUAUUCCCGUCAACACAUGCCUGGUUCCAUUGACGGGGUGCUCUCCAAAUGUCAGAUUUCGUUCAACAGCAUUCAACUUGAUACAACUACCUAGAACUCAAUUAGCCAUAGCCAUGGGUAUUAGACAGACUUUGAACCAGAGUCAAUAAUAUGACUCAUUUUCAAGUUCCGGUACUGCAUGAAGGCUCGAUUAUGAGCAAAACUUUCAAGUCUGGCAUGAAUCGGCAGCUCGUUCGGGCCCUGAAAGCCAUCUUGAAUUUCAUGUAGUGAAGAAGUGGGCAAGGUCACAGCUAUUAAUUGGUUCAAAUGAGGUGAUAGCAACCUUUUCAGGAAUCAAUGUAGGAAAAUCUAAUCAUUAAGCCAGCCCCAAUGCAUGAUUGCAGCACAUGUUUUCUUUUUGUGUGAUCAGCAAUGUUGGAUUCUGCAGCCUUCAUUUCUCCACUCAAAAUUCAGUUAAAUA